AAGCAGCCGAAGGAAACCAGGACUUGACUGACAAAAGUUCAUUAGCUACUUCGGAAGGGAAAGAUUCAGCAAACCAAGAAAACGUGAAUUUGGAGGAUAAGCUUUUAUCAGGUCAAUUUGGAUUCAAGAAGGAGUCAGAUGACGAUGAUGGAA
Long non-coding RNA from Pocillopora damicornis (cauliflower coral), 153 nucleotides. Lineage: Eukaryota; Metazoa; Cnidaria; Anthozoa; Scleractinia; Pocilloporidae. The record is from RefSeq and is a predicted model, not a curated record.